RNAcentral lists this long non-coding RNA (446 nucleotides) under Gossypium raimondii (Peruvian cotton). RNAcentral describes it as "long non-coding RNA (GRAI_LNC008660)". Lineage: Eukaryota; Viridiplantae; Streptophyta; Magnoliopsida; Malvales; Malvaceae. The record is from RNAcentral.
GAAUUUAAGCUUAGCAUAAAUAAUCAAGUUUAAAAUGAAAGAUGUGAAUUUAAACUUAUUUUAUACCUUCAAUUUGAAUUGAGUUUAAUCUUGAACUACUAUAAAUUAAGCUCGAGUCAACUAGAUUAAACCCGUUGUAGAAGCCCAAUUUCACCCUGGCCCAUUACAAACAAAUAAAAUACAUACACCCAAACCUCAACCCACCUAAACACUAACCCAACACCCAUGACCCAAACAUCAGCCCAAAUAAAUUAAAACCCUAAUGGCCUAACAAGCCCAAAACCUAAACCAUUUUUAGCCAAAAAACAAAAAAGAAAUAAACAAAAAAAAACCUAGCCGCUCUCCCUAGCCUAGCGCCGCAACCACCCUUAGUCUUCUGCUCACCUGCUCUGCCAGCAACCACCGCCAACUGCCACUGUCAUCUCCAUCCACGUGCGUUGGUCCCU